ACAUGCCAUGCAGUCUAUAAAUACGGUGAAAUGAGAAGCUUUUUUCAAUGCACUACAAUUAACAAGCUCUUUUACUCAAACUUAAUAGCAGGCAUUACUCAAGGGAUAGAAGACGGUACUACGUACGAUAAGCAAGAGAGAAACAUGGCAGGCAUCGAACCAAACGUUGUGAAUUUGCAGGAUCCAGCAGCUCACUAUGAGAAGCUGGUGACGGAGUUGGAGGUCAAGGGUCAGGCCGAGGCCAAUAAUGCUCAGCUACUCGCUGGAGAUGUGGAAUUGACCAGCCCUACCACAAACUUUACCGAUAGCAAGCUCACAAAACUCGACGUUCAUUUUUGGUCUGGAUAUACGCUCACUAGCUUCCCUGAUAUGAAUAGAUUCACAACUUACUAUUUUAGGGAGAAAGGCCCUCUUCCUCAAGGUGUCAAGUGGGGCUAUUGCUACGCUUCUGGUACCGACUCCACUGCUCGUAAGUGGGUUGCGGCUUUUGAUUCCGCUGCUGGCAAGGCUUAUUGUGAAGCCGGGCCUACAGGCCCAGUUGACUGGAACGUAGUUGAAGUUAAGUUGAAUGCGUCUGGAAGCAGUUGCGAGUAUGUUGACCCUAUUCUUGGAGGCAGGAUCACUGCUAAGAUUACUGGUCUCCAAGCAAUAUCAACUCUCUAUUAGCUACCAUGUUAGCUUAAUUAGUAAGCUGCAUUGCUGCUGCAAUUAAUCAAGAACUACAAUCCUUUACAUUCCUUGCUUUUUAAUUAAGUGCAUUUUAAUUGUGUAAUAAAAGUAAUGAUGCUACUAUGCAUCUAGUAUCCUAAUAAUGUACGGUUGUUUAUGGUUGUAAUGUAUAUGUCACCCAAUAGACAAUCUAUAUAUAUAUGGAAUAAACUGUUUCAAUUUACUUUUUUUUUUUUAUACAAGAACUGUUUUAAUUUACUUGGUAUUUUAUUAGAUACUAAAAUUGUUAACUGGAAUUUUAUGUCAUUUUUAUA
Molecule: RNA transcript, 983 nt
Organism: Chenopodium quinoa (quinoa)
Lineage: Eukaryota; Viridiplantae; Streptophyta; Magnoliopsida; Caryophyllales; Amaranthaceae
Exons: 4
Source: RefSeq, a predicted model, not a curated record